RNAcentral lists this ribosomal RNA (231 nucleotides) under uncultured bacterium. RNAcentral's name for it is "partial 16S ribosomal RNA". It matches the Rfam family "Bacterial small subunit ribosomal RNA", at positions 118 to 347 of the family's 1533-position model. The record is from RNAcentral.
UGGGCAACCUGCCCUCAGCUCUGGGAUAACUCCAAGAAAUUGGGGCUAAUACCGGAUAUGACCGCUGACCGCAUGGUCUGGUGGUGGAAAGAUUUAUCGGCUGGGGAUGGGCACGCGGCCUAUCAGCUUGUUGGUGGGGUAGUGGCCCACCAAGGCGACGACGGGUAGCCGGCCUGAGAGGAUGACCAGCCACACUGGGACUGAGACACGGCCCAGACCUCCGUACGGGAG